GUACCUGGUAAAGAAGUCCCGGCUAACUCCGUGCCAGCAGCCGCGGUAAUACGGAGGGGACUAGCGUUGUUCGGAAUUACUGGGCGUAAAGAGUUCGUAGGCGGACUGGCAAGUUAGAGGUGAAAUCCCAGGGCUCAACCCUGGAACUGCCUUUAAAACUGCCAAUCUAGAGACCGGAAGAGGUUAGGGGAAUACCUAGUGUAGAGGUGAAAUUCGUAGAUAUUAGGUGGAACACCAGUGGCGAAGGCGCCUAACUGGUCCGGUACUGACGCUGAGGAACGAAAGCGUGGGGAGCAAACAGGAUUAGAUACCCUGGUAGUCCACGCCGUAAACGAUGAGUGCUAGAUGUUGGGAUCUUAGGAUUUCAGUGUCGCAGCUAACGCAUUAAGCACU
Molecule: ribosomal RNA, 393 nt
Filed under: uncultured bacterium
Lineage: Bacteria
Description: bacterial SSU rRNA
Rfam family: Bacterial small subunit ribosomal RNA
Source: RNAcentral